UGGGGAAUAUUGCACAAUGGGGGGAACCCUGAUGCAGCGACGCGCGUGAGAGAAAGGUUUUCGAAUCGUAAAGCUCUGUCCUAUGAGAAGAUAAUGACGGUAUCAUAGGAGGAAGCCCCGGCUAAAUACGUGCCAGCAGCCGCGNUAAUACGUAUGGGGCGAGCGUUGUCCGGAAUUAUUGGGCGUAAAGGGUACGUAGGCGGUUUUUUAAGUCAGGUGUGAAAGCGUGAGGCUUAACCUCAUUAAGCACUUGAAACUGGAAGACUUGAGUGAAGGAGAGGAAAGUGGAAUUCCUAGGGUAGCGGUGAAAUGCGUAGAUUUUAGGAGGAAUACCGGUGGCGAAGGCGACUUUCUGGACUUUUACUGACGCUCAGGUACGAAAGCGUGGGGGGCAAACGGGAUUAGAUACCCGGGUAGUCUACGCCGUAAACGAUGAAUGCAAGGUGUGGGGAGUCAAAUCUCGGUGCCGAAGUUAACACAUUAGGCAUUCGGCCUGGGGAGUACGGUGGCAACACUG
Molecule: ribosomal RNA, 517 nt
Filed under: uncultured bacterium
Lineage: Bacteria
Description: bacterial SSU rRNA
Rfam family: Bacterial small subunit ribosomal RNA
Source: RNAcentral